ACGGUAGGUACAGAAGAAGCACCGGCCAACUACGUGCCAGCAGCCGCGGUAAUACGUAGGGUGCGAGCGUUGUCCGGAAUUAUUGGGCGUAAAGGGCUCGUAGGCGGUUUGUCGCGUCGGGAGUGAAAACCAUGAGCUUAACUCAUGGCUUGCUUUCGAUACGGGCAGACUAGAGGCAUGCAGGGGAGAACGGAAUUCCUGGUGUAGCGGUGAAAUGCGCAGAUAUCAGGAGGAACACCGGUGGCGAAGGCGGUUCUCUGGGCAUGUCCUGACGCUGAGGAGCGAAAGUGUGGGGAGCGAACAGGAUUAGAUACCCUGGUAGUCCACACCGUAAACGUUGGGCGCUAGGUGUGGGAUCCAUUCCACGGGUUCCGUGCCGCAGCUAACGCAUUAAGCGCCCCGCCUGGGGAGUACGGCCGCAAGGCUAAAACUCAAAGGAAUUGACGGGGGCCCGCACAAGCGGCGGAGCAUGCGGAUUAAUUCGAUGCAACGCGAAGAACCUUACCUGGGUUUGACAUACACCGGAAAGCUGCAGAGAUGUGGCCCCUUUUAGUC
Molecule: ribosomal RNA, 555 nt
Filed under: uncultured bacterium
Lineage: Bacteria
Description: bacterial SSU rRNA
Rfam family: Bacterial small subunit ribosomal RNA
Source: RNAcentral